Molecule: long non-coding RNA, 1624 nt
Filed under: Vombatus ursinus (common wombat)
Lineage: Eukaryota; Metazoa; Chordata; Mammalia; Diprotodontia; Vombatidae
Description: lncRNA (ENSVURG00010006425.1)
Source: RNAcentral
AUGAAAAUGGAGAGGAGGGAACAACGUGAGGGAAGUAGGAAGAAAGAAGGAAGAGAAUUUUGUGACUGGGUAGAGGGGCGGGGGGAAAGACAAGGACUGAAGGGUGACACUGGCUUUUCCCUCUUGAGGGGCUGGGAGGUGGGGGUACUACUGCCAGGAGCGAGGAAGGUGGGAGAGCCAUACAGUUUGCAGCGGGGAAGUCCUGACUCUUUUACGGGGCAUGUUGAGUUCCAGGUGAUGAUGGAGAUGUUCCAGAGGCAGCUACCCAUGUGGGGCUCAAGUCCUGAUACAAAUGUGAUGAUGUCUGGAGCAGCUCACUGUGAAACUCCCGGAGGAGGGUCAGAGCCCUCCAGUUUUCCAUACCAUGGUGUUCAGAGGCAGGUGUCCUGGUCCUGGGUUCUGGCUGGAGAUUUCCUGAAGCCCGUCUUCCCUGAUGCCACUGAAUGCAGUCUCCUGACCUUUUUCCCUAGAGCUCUCUCCUUCCUCCACAAGACGGCCUGGGAGCCCCCAGCCCAGGGAGGCUUUGGCAUUUCCUGCUUCCUGAACAGCUGGAACGGCUGGCCUCUUGGGAGGAGGGCAGAGCAGGGGACCAGGGCGCCCUGGGGUGGCUGGCUCAGGGCCUGACCUUGAUCACACAAGGUAUGGACUGGUUGGGGCUGGGGAAGGCCUUGUGGCUGUCCUGUCUCUCACUAGCUGGCUUUGUGUCUUGCUGUUUCUUUGUGUGUGGCUGUCUUUUUCUGUCUGCCUCUGUCCUGUCUCAUUCUUUCUUUACAUCUCACUCUGUCUCUGCCUCUUUCCUUAUCUGUCUUAGUGUCUCUCUCUGUCUCUCAGUAUCAGUCUCUCUUUUUCCUUCUUCUCUGGUUUUUCUUUGUCUGUUUCUGUCACCUCUCUGUGGCUUUUUCUUUCUUAAUCUCUCUGUAUGAUUGUCUCUGUCUCCUCUUGAGCCUGGCUAUGUAUGUCUCUCCUUGUAUCUUACUGUCUCCAUCUCUCUCCCUGUGUCUGCCUCAAGUGGAGGUGGAGGAAUUGGGUGGGGUUUCUUCUACCCCUCCCCCAUGUCUGUGGGUAUGGGGAGGUCAAGGGGCUUUCAGGAGAGGGGUCCAUCCUGGGGGUGGUUUGGAGACCCUCACACUGUGAGCUAGCAGAUGAGAUUGCAUCCUUGCCAUUUUUCUAGCCCCAAGAAAUGCCCUAGGGACUUUCUUCUCCACCCCCUAGCCCUGGGUCCUCUGGGGGUCUGCUUGGGGAGGAGCUAAUGCUGCUCUUACAGCCUUUAUCCUUCACUAGUGUCCUGCUGACUGUGUAGUUAAGGGAGAAGAUCAGUUUAAGGAGGGAACCUAGGGGGACAGUGUUUGUUUAUCCAAUUAUAGGAGUAGGGGAGCUGGAACUUUCAAGGGAAGGAGAUUGGCAAUGUGGUUUCAGUCCUUGGGCCUUCCUGCCCUCUUUCCCCCACCCCCAGCCCAGGGACCUCCUCCCUAGAAGCCCAGUGAUCAUAGCAUUGGCCCUGGAUGGGGGAGGAGAUGGAGUCAAAGCCUUAUCUACUUCUGGACCCUGCCAGUGACCCCUCUGUCAGGAAGCCCUCUAGGCAAGCAAAGCCACAGAACCACUCACCCCUCCCACUGUCAGGCCU